GAUGAACGCUGGCGGCGUGCCUAAUACAUGCAAGUCGAGCGAACAGACGAGGAGCUUGCUCCUCUGACGUUAGCGGCGGAGGGGAGAGUAACAUGUGGAUAACCUACCUAUAAGACUGGGAUACCUUCGGGAAACCGGUGCUAAUACCGGAGAAUAUAUUGAAACGAAUGGGUCAAUAGUGAAAGACGGUUUUGCUGUCACUUAUAGAUGGAUCCGCGCCGCAUUAGCUAGUUGGUAUGGUAACGGCUUACCAAGGCAACGAGUCGUAGCCGAUCUGAGAGGGUGAUCGGCCACACUGGAACUGAGACACGGUCCAGACUCCUACGGGAGGCAGCAGUAGGGAAUCUUCCGCAAUGGGCGAAAGCUUGACCCAGCAACGCCGCGUGAUUGAUGAAGGUCUUCGGAUCGUAAAACUCUGUUAUUAGGGAAGAACAAAUUUGUAAGUAACUAUGCACGGCUUGACGGUACCUAAUCAGAAAGCCACGGCUAACUACGUG
Molecule: ribosomal RNA, 497 nt
Filed under: uncultured bacterium
Lineage: Bacteria
Description: partial 16S ribosomal RNA
Rfam family: Bacterial small subunit ribosomal RNA
Source: RNAcentral